UACGGGGGGGGCAAGCGUUGUUCGGAAUUACUGGGCGUAAAGGGCUCGUAGGCGGCCAACUAAGUCAGACGUGAAAUCCCUCGGCUUAACCGGGGAACUGCGUCUGAUACUGGAUGGCUUGAGUUCGGGAGAGGGAUGCGGAAUUCCAGGUGUAGCGGUGAAAUGCGUAGAUAUCAGGAGGAACACCAAUGGCGAAGGCAGCUCGCUGGAACGGUACUGACGCUGAGGCGCGAAAGCGUGGGGAGCGAACAGG
This 253-nucleotide ribosomal RNA is filed under the name uncultured bacterium. RNAcentral's name for it is "partial 16S ribosomal RNA". It matches the Rfam family "Bacterial small subunit ribosomal RNA", at positions 524 to 776 of the family's 1533-position model. The record is from RNAcentral.